This is a non-coding RNA of Paramuricea clavata, 101 nucleotides long. The record is from the annotation of a GenBank genome assembly. NCBI's taxonomy places the organism in Eukaryota, Metazoa, Cnidaria, Anthozoa, Malacalcyonacea, Plexauridae.
UGAAAUUUCACAUGUGAAUUUGGAACAUGUGAUUUUACACAUGUGAAAUUUCACAUCUGAAAUUAUGUUUCACAUGUUCCAAAUUCACAUGUGAAACUUCA